CCAAAGUGCAGCAUCCUGUAGUUACACAGAGACAGCAGGCACUGUUACACAAUGCCACAGCCAAAGCUUCCGACUCCCUCGCCACGUCCGACUCCCCUGCCAAGAAAACAAAUCUUCCUUCAAAUGAGUUCUAAGACUGAUGAGCCAGAAAAAAGUGCUCCCCUGUCUCCCACGAAAUCUGGAGAGGACAUCUGCUCGAGUCCACCACCAGUGGCACCAAAGAAGUGGACUGUUAGAAAGAGUUCAACAGGAAAUGAAGUUUUUGUGGAAAAAA
Non-coding RNA from Maylandia zebra (zebra mbuna), 274 nucleotides. NCBI's taxonomy places the organism in Eukaryota, Metazoa, Chordata, Actinopteri, Cichliformes, Cichlidae. The record is from RefSeq and is a predicted model, not a curated record.